AUUGAACGCUGGCGGCGUGCCUAACACAUGCAAGUCGAGCGGUAACAGGUGUAGCAAUACAUGCUGACGAGCGGCGAACGGGUGAGUAAUGCUUCGGAAUCUACCCAAUGGUGGGGAAUAACCAGCCGAAAGGUUGGCUAAUACCGCAUACGUCCUACGGGAGAAAGCAGGGGAUCGUAAGACCUUGCGCCGAUGGAUGAGCCGAAGCCGGAUUAGCUAGUUGGUAGGGUAACAGCCUACCAAGGCGACGAUCCGUAGCUGGUCUGAGAGGACGACCAGCCACACUGGGACUGAGACACGGCCCAGACUCCUACGGGAGGCAGCAGUGGGGAAUAUUGGACAAUGGGGGAAACCCUGAUCCAGCGACGCCGCGUGUGUGAAGAAGGCCUGCGGGUUGUAAAGCACUUUUAGUGGGGAUGAAAAGUGCAGAGCUAAUAUCUCUGCAUCUUGACCUAACCCACAGAAAAAGCACCGGCUAACUCUGUGCCAGCAGCCGCCGUAAUAC
This 505-nucleotide ribosomal RNA is filed under the name uncultured bacterium. RNAcentral describes it as "bacterial SSU rRNA". It matches the Rfam family "Bacterial small subunit ribosomal RNA", at positions 30 to 526 of the family's 1533-position model. The record is from RNAcentral.